RNAcentral lists this ribosomal RNA (253 nucleotides) under uncultured bacterium. RNAcentral's name for it is "partial 16S ribosomal RNA". It matches the Rfam family "Bacterial small subunit ribosomal RNA", at positions 524 to 776 of the family's 1533-position model. The record is from RNAcentral.
UACGAGGGGUCCUAGCGUUGUUCGGAAUUACUGGGCGUAAAGCGCACGUAGGCGGAUUUGUAAGUCAGGGGUGAAAUCCCGGGGCUCAACCUCGGAACUGCCUUUGAUACUGCAAAUCUCGAGUCCGGAAGAGGUGAGUGGAAUUCCUAGUGUAGAGGUGAAAUUCGUAGAUAUUAGGAAGAACACCAGUGGCGAAGGCGGCUCACUGGCUCGUAUCUGACGCUCAGGCGCGACAGCGUGGGGAUCAAACAGG